AAGGCUGGAAAGAGGGGAGUGCGGAACAUGCCUCCACCAUACCACUGCCCACCUCCUGUGACCUCUGCAGCAAAACCUGAAGCCCCAAAGAGGCAGCUUCUCAAAGUAAAAGUGGAAUGAAGUUCCUGGUGACCUGAAUUCCCAUGGAGGAAAGAGGAAAAGGACAUUAUGCAAGGAGAUGGCAUCUCGUGUCCCUGGUGAACCAAAUUCCAUUAGGAAGACGGUGCAGUGUGAGGUGGACCUGGACCUGGAUAAAAUGGGUGUUUAACAAGUAUUUGUUGAGUAGGUGGUGGAGGAGGCACGACUAGAUGCAGGGUCUAGCUGAGUUGACAAGAGCUAACACCAGGUGUGGACCAGGACAGGGGGACCUUAAGCGAAGACACCCUGCCAGAUGUGUCUUGUUCCCUUGACUGUGGGGAGGCCCUUGGUGGUGGGGUGACGGUCCCCCAGUCUGAGGAUUUUCCCUGGAUGUAGCCUCUCAGUGCUAAAAUGGGACAGUCCCAGGCAAACCAGGUCAGUUGGUCACUCUACUCAGUGAGCCCCGUGCUGUGUUCAAAUUUUCCUCUUAACAGAUGUGGAUGGAUUUCGGAAACUUAGAAACCACCAUUUCUCUGUGCCUGGGAGGAGAGUUAAAUCUUCUCACCAGAAUCCUUUUAUGUGUGAGAGAAAUAAAUAUCUAUCCUUUUUAUAUCUCUUUUGUUUUGGAUUCUUUGUCACCAGCAGCCAAACCCAAUUCUUACAUAAACGUGAUACUAAUUAAAUUCAUUUGCAUAAACUCACCAGUUUUAUCCUUAAUUACUGUGAUAUACACUCAUGAAGUAUGUACCCUAAAAUACCACUGUAAGUUUUAUUUGAUUACAGCAUUAAACUUAAUUUACAGAAAUGCUUGGCUUCUUUCAAUAGCUUGUUGAUUACAUAGUAUGAUCAUCUUCUGAUAACUUAAAAGAAAAAAAAUGGAAGGACCCGUAUUCCUUCCAGCUUGUGAAUGGAGGCCCAGGGCACCAGACCCUGCUAUUGAAUUUGAAUAAAUGGGAUCUCUUUUGAACAGAAUCUGAGAGAUGGCAUUAACAUAUACCUCAUGGCCAAAGUGCAUUACAUUUAGCCUUUACUGCAGACAGUUGUUUUUGGAGACACACUAUGACCUUUGGUAUAUCUGCAUCUGUGAAACAAUAAAGCAUUCUUUAAAUGAAGAUUUUGCUGUAUUACAAAUGACUGGAGAGGGUUUUAAACAUUAUUAUUCUAGUGCUGGUCUGCUUCCCUUCUUUCUCUUAAAUAAUCUGCUUUAAGCGUUCAAAGGGUCUACUCAUCUCAGGACAUGACUAUAGCUAAUUUGCUGAGAGCCUCUGAACAUACCCCAAGCCUGCUUAGGACAUCUGCAGGGAAGUUAAAUCAUUUUAAGUGGAGGAAUUAGGCUAAUGUUUUCUGCUAGGAAGAAACCUUGAAUCUGGUAUUCUGAACAAGACUUCAAAUGGUGGAAACAAAUUACGCUGUAGAUAUACAAAAGAAAAAUAAAUCCAUCUUAUUUUACUGGGAGCUUGACACUUUUAUUUAGAGAAUUUAUAUUUCUGAAUGCUCCCUUCAUACCUUAUGGAUGCAUUUCAAAUGUGGCUGUUAGGUUGAUGAUCUACUUCUUAAAAACAGAUCAGGGAGAAAGAGGAGAUUGGGGCCACUUUAGAAUAAGAAAGAAAGAAAAGAGAAGAUUUAUUUAACAAUGAGAUGAAUCUGAGCAAAAUGAAUCUUUUUCUUGCAAAAGCAGGCAAAUUCUGAUAGGCUUGAGAGAUUCUGAAUGAAAAAAAUGUUCUUUUGCAAAUGACUUUUGCACUGCCACUAUCUCCCCAAGACUUUGUGUUUUUUUUUCUUUUUUGAGACAGGGUCAUGCAGGCUGGAGUGCAAUGGCAAUCCUCCUGCCUCAGCCUCUGAGUAGCUGGGACUACAGGCACACUCUACCAUGACCAGCUGAUUUUUUAUUUUUUGCAGCGACAAGGUCUCAUUACCUUGCACAGGC
RNAcentral lists this long non-coding RNA (2005 nucleotides) under Homo sapiens (human). Its description in RNAcentral is "non-protein coding ITGB1-DT:47". Lineage: Eukaryota; Metazoa; Chordata; Mammalia; Primates; Hominidae. The record is from RNAcentral.